GGUGCGACGUCUGACCUGCAAGUCGAACGGUAGGGAGCAAUCCCUACAGUGGCGAACGGCUGAGUAACACGUAGGAACCUACCCCCCAGUUCGGGACAACGGGCCGAAAGGCCCGCUAAUACCGGAUAAUACCGCAAGGUUGAAAGGUUUACCGCUGGGAGAGGGGCCUGCGGCGUAUUAGCUUGAUGGUGAGGUAACGGCUCACCAUGGCGAUGAUGCGUAGCUGGUCUGAGAGGAUGAUCAGCCAGACUGGGACUGAGACACGGCCCAGACUCCUACGGGAGGCAGCAGUUCAGAAUCUUGCGCAAUGGGCGAAAGCCUGACGCAGCGAUGCCGCGUGAGCGAUGAAGGCCUUCGGGUCGUAAAGCUCUGUCAGAGGGAACGAUUAUGACGGUACCCUCAGAGGAAGCCACGGCUAAUUACGUGCCAGCAGCCGCGGUAAUACGUAAGUGGCGAGCGUUAUCCGGAAUCACUGGGCGUAAAGCGUUCGUAGGCGGCGCGGAUAGUUGGAUUUGAAAGCCCGGGGCUUAACUCCGGACCCGGAUCCAAAACUCCCGUGCUUGAGCAUAUCAGAGGGCAGUGGAAUUCCCGGUGUAGCGGUAAUAUGCGUAGAUAUCGGGAGGAACACCAGUGGCGAAGGCGGCUGCCUGGGGUAUUGCUGACGCUGAGGAACGAAAGCCAGGGGAGCGAACGGGAUUAGAUACCCCGGUAGUCCUGGCUGUAAACGAUGAGUACUAUGUGUCGGGGGCUUCGACCCCCUCGGCGCCGCCGCUAACGCAUUAAGUACUCCGCCUGGGGACUACGGCCGCAAGGUUAAAACUCA
Molecule: ribosomal RNA, 823 nt
Filed under: uncultured soil bacterium
Lineage: Bacteria
Description: bacterial SSU rRNA
Rfam family: Bacterial small subunit ribosomal RNA
Source: RNAcentral